CAGUCGCCACGGGAAUACGGAGGGCGCGAGCGUUACCCGGAUUUACUGGGCGUAAAGGGCGUGUAGGCGGCCUGGGGCGUCCCAUGUGAAAGGCCACGGCUCAACCGUGGAGGAGCGUGGGAUACGCUCAGGCUAGAGGGUGGGAGAGGGUGGUGGAAUUCCCGGAGUAGCGGUGAAAUGCGCAGAUACCGGGAGGAACGCCGAUGGCGAAGGCAGCCACCUGGUCCACUUCUGACGCUGAGGCGCGAAAGCGUGGGGAGCAAACCGGAUUAGAUACCCCUGUAGUCCCUGUCUCUUAUAA
RNAcentral lists this ribosomal RNA (301 nucleotides) under uncultured bacterium. Its description in RNAcentral is "partial 16S ribosomal RNA". It matches the Rfam family "Bacterial small subunit ribosomal RNA", at positions 509 to 809 of the family's 1533-position model. The record is from RNAcentral.